AAAUGAAUAGACGGGGACCCGCACAAGCGGUGGAGCAUGUGGUUUAAUUCGAAGCAACGCGAAGAACCUUACCAAGUCUUGACAUCCCGAUGCCCGGCAUAGAGAUAUGCCUUUUCUUCGGAACAUCGGUGACAGGUGGUGCAUGGUUGUCGUCAGCUCGUGUCGUGAGAUGUUGGGUUAAGUCCCGCAACGAGCGCAACCCUUAUCUUUAGUAGCCAGCAGUAAGAUGGGAACUCUAGAGAGACUGCCGGGGAUAACCCGGAGGAAGGUGGGGAUGACGUCAAAUCAUCAUGCCCCUUAUGACUUGGGCUACACACGUGCUACAAUGGCGUAAACAGAGGGAAGCAAACCAGUGAUGGGGAGCAAAUCCGAUAAAUAACGUCUCAGUUCGGAUUGUAGGCUGCAACUCGCCUACAUGAAGCUGGAAUCGCUAGUAAUCGCGAAUCAGCAUGUCGCGGUGAAUACGUUCCCGGGUCUUGUACACACCGCCCGU
RNAcentral lists this ribosomal RNA (493 nucleotides) under uncultured bacterium. RNAcentral describes it as "bacterial SSU rRNA". It matches the Rfam family "Bacterial small subunit ribosomal RNA", at positions 903 to 1397 of the family's 1533-position model. The record is from RNAcentral.